GACGAACGCUGGCGGCGUGCUUAACACAUGCAAGUCGAACGGUGAAGCGCCUUCCUUUUUGGUGGGUGUGGAUGAGUGGCGAACGGGUGAGUAACACGUGAGUAACCUGCCCCCUUCUUCUGGAUAACCGCAUGAAAGUGUGGCUAAUACGGGAUAUUCUGGGUCUGUCGCAUGAUGGGUCUGGGAAAGAUAUUGUUUCGGUGGGGGAUGGGCUCGCGGCCUAUCAGCUUGUUGGUGGGGUGAUGGCCUACCAAGGCGGUGACGGGUAGCCGGCCUGAGAGGGUGGACGGUCACACUGGGACUGAGACACGGCCCAGACUCCUACAGGAGGCAGCAGUGGGGAAUAUUGCACAAUGGGCGCAAGCCUGAUGCAGCGACGCCGCGUGAGGGAUGGAGGCCUGCGGGUUGUGAACCUCUUUCGCCAGUGAAGCAGGCCUGCCUCGUUUGUGGGUGGGUUGACGGUAGCUGGAUAAGAAGCGCCGGCUAACUACGUG
This 494-nucleotide ribosomal RNA is filed under the name uncultured bacterium. RNAcentral's name for it is "partial 16S ribosomal RNA". It matches the Rfam family "Bacterial small subunit ribosomal RNA", at positions 28 to 507 of the family's 1533-position model. The record is from RNAcentral.